GGAGGGGUGGUCGAGCGGUUGAAGGCACCGCACUCGAAAUGCGGCAUACCGGUAACGGUAUCGUGGGUUCGAAUCCCACCCCCUCCGCCA
This 90-nucleotide transfer RNA is filed under the name Alphaproteobacteria bacterium. RNAcentral's name for it is "tRNA-Ser". It matches the Rfam family "tRNA". Rfam says of the family: Transfer RNA (tRNA) molecules are approximately 80 nucleotides in length. Their secondary structure includes four short double-helical elements and three loops (D, anti-codon, and T loops). Further hydrogen bonds mediate the characteristic L-shaped molecular structure. tRNAs have two regions of fundamental functional importance: the anti-codon, which is responsible for specific mRNA codon recognition, and the 3' end, to which the tRNAs corresponding amino acid is attached (by aminoacyl-tRNA synthetases). tRNAs cope with the degeneracy of the genetic code in two manners: having more than one tRNA (with a specific anti-codon) for a particular amino acid; and 'wobble' base-pairing, i.e. permitting non-standard base-pairing at the 3rd anti-codon position. The record is from RNAcentral. Lineage: Bacteria; Pseudomonadati; Pseudomonadota; Alphaproteobacteria.